This 253-nucleotide ribosomal RNA is filed under the name uncultured bacterium. Its description in RNAcentral is "partial 16S ribosomal RNA". It matches the Rfam family "Bacterial small subunit ribosomal RNA", at positions 524 to 776 of the family's 1533-position model. The record is from RNAcentral.
GACGAACCGUACGAACGUUAUUCGGAAUCACUGGGCUUAAAGAGUUCGUAGGCUGCUAUGCAGGUGAGAUGUGAAAUCCCUCGUCUCAACCGAGGAAUUGCGUUUCAAACCGCAUAGCUAGAGGAAGAUAGGGGUGAGCGGAACUGUUGGUGGAGCGGUGAAAUGCGUUGAUAUCAAUAGGAACACCAGAGGCGAAGGCGGCUCACUGGGUCUUUUCUGACGCUGAGGAACGAAAGCUAGGGGAGCAAACGGG